This 164-nucleotide ribosomal RNA is filed under the name uncultured bacterium. Its description in RNAcentral is "partial 16S rRNA". It matches the Rfam family "Bacterial small subunit ribosomal RNA", at positions 355 to 511 of the family's 1533-position model. The record is from RNAcentral.
UAGGGAAUCUUCCACAAUGGGCGAAAGCCUGAUGGAGCAACGCCGCGUGUGUGAUGAAGGGUUUCGGCUCGUAAAACACUGUUGUAAGAGAAGAAUGACAUUGAGAGUAACUGUUCAAUGCGUGACGGUAUCUUACCAGAAAGGAACGGCUAAAUACGCGCCAG